RNAcentral lists this ribosomal RNA (374 nucleotides) under uncultured eukaryote. RNAcentral's name for it is "partial 18S ribosomal RNA". It matches the Rfam family "Eukaryotic small subunit ribosomal RNA", at positions 592 to 976 of the family's 1831-position model. The record is from RNAcentral.
CAAGAGCGUAUGUAAAAGUUGUUGCAGUUAAAAAGCUCGUAGUUGAACCUUGGGUUUGGUUGGCCGGUCCGCUUUUUUGCGAGUACUGGAUUCAACCGAGCCUUUCCUUCUGGCUAACCAGUCGUUUCGGCGGCUGGCGAACCAGGAUUUUUACUUUGAGAAAAUUAGAGUGUUCAAAGCAGGCAUUAGCUUGAAUAUAUUAGCAUGGAAUAAUAGAAUAGGACGUUAUGGUUCUAUUUUGUUGGUUUCUAGGACCAUCGUAAUGAUUAAUAGGGACGGUCGGGGGCAUCAGUAUUCAGUUAUCAGAGGUGAAAUUCUUGGAUUUACUGAAGACUAACUACUGCGAAAGCAUUUGCCAAGGACGUUUUCAUUAA